GGGGGCUAUGCCAAGACUCAGUUGGGCCAGGCGCUUGUGGAAGAAAGUGAGAACUUUUUCUCUCUGUCAAAAGAGGUCAUCAGGCACACCUGGGAGCGCUCCCACUGGGCAGGCUGAUGAGUAACCUGUCAUUUCCCCGCACGAGAGGUCUCCAGGCCCUUUAUGAGGAGCAAGUAGUCUUGGUUACCCCUUCUGGCAACAGUAUUGGACAGCAGAUGAACUUCAGAGAGGAAAGAAGGAAGUGAUGGGAGGAUCCCACCUCUGCUCACCAGUGACAUCCUCAACCACCAAUGAGAGAGCCCUUGCAAGCAUUACCUCAUCCGGGACAACGGCCAUUGGCUCCCAGUACUAGAAAAGCCUAAAGAUUUCCAAAAGGCUCAGCUUUUGGCAUUAACCCUUCCCCAGGCAGGUCUGGUCUCUCUUAGGAGCCAGUGUCACCCCUGGGAAAAUGACUCUGUUCACACCUACUAUCUCACACUGUGGAUGCUUGGGACCUUCCCACUCAGAGACCGUGUAGGCCAGUGCUGGGCAGAACUACAUUGAAAGCCAUGUGCGUAAUUUUAAAGUUUCUA
RNAcentral lists this long non-coding RNA (572 nucleotides) under Chinchilla lanigera (long-tailed chinchilla). RNAcentral's name for it is "lncRNA (ENSCLAG00000022987.1)". Lineage: Eukaryota; Metazoa; Chordata; Mammalia; Rodentia; Chinchillidae. The record is from RNAcentral.